CGGCGUGCUAUCAUGCAAGUCGAGCGAACCUUUUAGAGCUUGCUCUUUAUUAGUUAGCGGCGGACGGGUGAGUAACACGGUGGGCAACCUGCCUGUAAGACUGGGAUAACUCCGGGAAACCGGGAGCUAAUACCGGCAUAAUUUUUAUCAACCGCAUGGUCUCAAAAAUGAAAGAUGGCUUUGCCUUCCCCUUUCCGAUGGACCCGCUCCCUCGUUAACGAAUUGGCUUAGGAAACGGCCACCACGGCAACGAUGCGAAACCGACCUGAGAGGGUGAUCAGCCACACUGGGACUGAGACACCGCCCAAACUCCUACGGGAGGCAGCUUUAGGGAAUCUUCCCCCAUGGGCGAAAGUCUGACGGAGCAACCCCGCGUGAGUGAAGAAUGUCUUCCGAUCGUAAAA
RNAcentral lists this ribosomal RNA (404 nucleotides) under Bacillus sp. BDU1. Its description in RNAcentral is "bacterial SSU rRNA". It matches the Rfam family "Bacterial small subunit ribosomal RNA", at positions 40 to 430 of the family's 1533-position model. The record is from RNAcentral. Lineage: Bacteria; Bacillati; Bacillota; Bacilli; Caryophanales; Bacillaceae.